GAUCCUGGCUCAGGAUGAACGCUGGCGGCGUGCUUAACACAUGCAAGUCGAACGAUUGAAGCUGGAGCUUGCUCCGGCCGAUUUAGUGGCGGACGGGUGAGUAACGCGUGGGUAACCUGCCUCAUACAGGGGAAUAGCAGUUGGAAACGACUGGUAAAACCGCAUAAGCGCACAGUGUCGCAUGACUUUAUAGCCAAAGCUCCGGCGGUGUAUGAUGGAUCCGCGUCUGAUUAGGCAGUUGGCGGGGUAACGGCCCACCAAACCGACGAUCAGUAGCCGACCUGAGAGGGUGACCGGCCACAUUGGGACUGAGACACGGCCCAGACUCCUACGGGAGGCAGCAGUGGGGAAUAUUGCACAAUGGAGGAAACUCUGAUGCAGCGACGCCGCGUGAGCGAUGAAGUAUUUCGGUAUGUAAAGCUCUAUCAGCAGGGAAGAUAAUGACGGUACCUGACUAAGAAGCUCCGGCUAAAUACGUG
This 479-nucleotide ribosomal RNA is filed under the name uncultured bacterium. RNAcentral's name for it is "bacterial SSU rRNA". It matches the Rfam family "Bacterial small subunit ribosomal RNA", at positions 15 to 507 of the family's 1533-position model. The record is from RNAcentral.